Molecule: small nucleolar RNA, 80 nt
Filed under: Cladophialophora immunda
Lineage: Eukaryota; Fungi; Ascomycota; Eurotiomycetes; Chaetothyriales; Herpotrichiellaceae
Description: Cladophialophora sp. HB-2008 A. fumigatus snoRNA Afu_294
Rfam family: A. fumigatus snoRNA Afu_294
Source: Rfam by way of RNAcentral
CAUCCUGAUGAUCUCAUGUAUUUCGCUGUGUUCUUACUGAAUUCCCAUGUCGAACAUAUAUCACCUUGGAGAACUGAAAU